AUGAGAUAUUAGAGUAAGUUAAAUCAUAGAUUUAAAAUGGAAUAAAACAUAGAUCAGUCGCUUUCAUAUGUAUUAAGAUAAGAAACAUGUUAUAAAGAUGAUGCAUUGAAUCCAAAUAUAUCUUCAUUUGCUGGUAAAUUUUAUGCAUAGUUUGACUAUUUCGGUCAUUAAAGGCCGCACAUUCAACAGGCAAGUCUACAGGAGGCCUCAUUCUCUCUAAGGUAAAAGAGAAAAGGAUGAAUUUUUCCUAUUGAAGUCCUUAUGUACCUUUGUAAUUUACUUGAGUUAGCAUGGAAAGUAAUGGUAAGGGGUAUCUAUUGAUGGUGCGCCACUUCCCUUUGAGACUGGUGAAAUUAAUUGUGGUGAACCAGGGACAAAUGAUCAGCACAGUUUCAACAGAGGAUUGAAGAUGAUGGUGGUUUGAAGAAGGCAGUAACAGAGUAUUGAAGAUGAUGGUGGUUUGAAGAAGGAAGCCGUUGUUAAUAACGGCUAGUAUUAACCAACGACGCCGUUUCAUUAUACUAGAAAGAAAAGGAUUACAAAAAGGGAAAACGGUGUCGCACGGAUAACGAGGGCAAUGACAAAACACAUACUGUAUAUCUUCUUCCUAUUUAUAACAUAAACGGUUGGAGGUUACAAGUUUGUUACGGAAAAAUGAAGAGAGAGAAAGUUUAGUUGUAACUAUAUAGAGCAUCUUGUGUAGCAAGUUUCGUAAGAGUGAUUCUUCUUUUCUUCCUUUUAAGAAUUGAAACCUUCCUCUGUUUUGGUUCCUCUCUUGUACCUGUUAUCUGUUAUCUUCUUCUUUUGUAUCUGUUAUCUUCUUAUUCAAUGAGAUGAAUUCAAUCAAGUUUUAUAGUUUUUAUCAACUAAUUCAUCAGGAGAGGUUGUGAAUAACCAUGAUGAACUCAUGUCUCAAACUUUUUUGCGCAACCAGAUGCCUUUGCUUAUGGGAAGCCAACCCUAUGAUUUGGAUGUAGACAUAUCUGAUAGAAGGAAUAGAAAGAUAGAAAGAGCCAAGAUAUUAUGUCCGUGUCUCCUUUUUGUACAACAUAUGUUUUCAUAGUUUAUUUUGCACACAAAUUUCUUUUCUUUUGGUCUUUUGUAGACGCAGUUGCAAAAAGAGAAUGUUCCACAGAAUCUAAUUCCUCACAAGACGUUCUCAGACAAUAGGCAUUCUCUCAGUAUUCUGCUUUCGGCAUUAGAUGCUUACAAAAUUGGACAGGCUUGUGGUUUCUUCAUUAAUUGAGAGGUUGAUGUAUGCUAAUGUUUGAAAAUUGAAAGUAAUCCUGGAAUUGAGAUA
Jatropha curcas is the source of this 1300-nucleotide non-coding RNA. Lineage: Eukaryota; Viridiplantae; Streptophyta; Magnoliopsida; Malpighiales; Euphorbiaceae. The record is from RefSeq and is a predicted model, not a curated record.